UACGGAGGGUGCGAGCGUUGUCCGGAAUCACUGGGCGUAAAGGGCUCGUAGGUGGCCAACUAAGUCGGACGUGAAAUCCCUCAGCUUAACUGGGGAACUGCGUCCGAUACUGGAUGGCUUGAGUUUGGGAGAGGGAUGCGGAAUUCCAGGUGUAGCGGUGAAAUGCGUAGAUAUCUGGAGGAACACCGGUGGCGAAGGCGGCAUCCUGGACCAACACUGACACUGAGGAGCGAAAGCCAGGGGAGCAAACGGG
RNAcentral lists this ribosomal RNA (253 nucleotides) under uncultured bacterium. RNAcentral describes it as "partial 16S ribosomal RNA". It matches the Rfam family "Bacterial small subunit ribosomal RNA", at positions 524 to 776 of the family's 1533-position model. The record is from RNAcentral.